RNAcentral lists this small RNA (185 nucleotides) under Bacteroidetes oral taxon 274 str. F0058. RNAcentral describes it as "Bacteroidales-1 6S-Bacteroidales RNA suggested". It matches the Rfam family "Bacteroidales-1 6S-Bacteroidales RNA suggested". Lineage: Bacteria; Pseudomonadati; Bacteroidota. The record is from Rfam by way of RNAcentral.
UCCGGCACUGCUUGAGAUUGGAAAAUUCUACAUUUAAAUUCAUAAACCGAGUAGGUUGAGAAGUUGAUGGCGGGCUGCGACCUCGCAAGAGGUAUCCGUAACGGGACGGCAGAUUACAAAGACUUUUCAAACACUCAAAUCCUGUUUUUCAGGAAUUUUUCUCAACAAAUAGCAGUGCUUUUUUU